GGGCGAGCCAUGGGACUGGAAGGCAGCAGGCAGAUGUCAGGGUCAGGCAUUGCUGGCUCAGAAGCAGCCCAAGGGAAAGACCAGGCAAGAGUAGGGGUGAAGAAAUCUCAUGUAGAAGCCCAGAACUUUCAAGAGAUAAGAAGUAGGGAGAUUCUGGUUUAAAGAGAGAUGACGGAAGCCCCGAAUGUCCUGUCUUCUGCUCCCCCAGAUACCUUCAUGGACUACAGAGCUGUACAUACGUGGGUGAAAAAUCGUUACUUUUUGUGUACUUCCAGACUAUUGAAGUUUAUAACUAAAAAUAAACCAAUAGGAAACCUAGCCAUGGCAUAGUGGCUACAUGCAUGGGAUGUGAAGCCACAAUUCCUGAGUUUGAAUCCCAGCUCUGCCUCAUCUUAAAAGUGUGAUCAUAGAGAGGGUCAUGGAAUACAUGAACUUCAGGC
Molecule: non-coding RNA, 440 nt
Filed under: Pongo abelii (Sumatran orangutan)
Lineage: Eukaryota; Metazoa; Chordata; Mammalia; Primates; Hominidae
Source: RNAcentral